RNAcentral lists this long non-coding RNA (222 nucleotides) under Salvia miltiorrhiza (redroot sage). RNAcentral's name for it is "long non-coding RNA (SMIL_LNC009336)". The record is from RNAcentral. Lineage: Eukaryota; Viridiplantae; Streptophyta; Magnoliopsida; Lamiales; Lamiaceae.
GGUAGUAUGUAAUGACCCGCAUUUUUAUUUAAUAUGGUAUCGCGAUAAUUAAUAUCACAUCUUUUAGUAAAUGAAACCCAGUUGCCAGUUAUAUAUGAAUCCAGUUUAUGGUCCUGAUUUUUUUUUUUUUUUGAUCUAGUACAAAGGCGAGGUUUAUUUUACUUUUAGAAUAUUUCGAGGAGGAAGGAAGAAUCACAGCUCUAUUCGACCACGUUAUACGAG